AUGUGAAGGGCCGGCCCUGUCAAUUUCAUACAUAAAUAUUGGAGAAUAUUUUCCCGGAGGAGAUGAUUAUUAUAAUCACACUCUCUACGAAAUCUAUUUACAAUGUGUAUCCUAGAUAUACGAACGAAUCGAAUUUGUCGAGCAUGAAAAAUGUCUCAUAAAUUUUCUUUGCAACGUCGAUUCGUUGCCGUUGCGAUCGUCGAUAAUGUUCUCAGUGCAUCUCUUCAUAAAUAAAAUCAGCAUAAUGUAUUGCAAACUGAUAAGCUCAAAUAUCUAAAAUAAAAAUAUUACAAAAGUCAUUGAUAAAGGGAAGAAAAUGGAAUUAAGUUACCAGUUUUGAUAAAAAAAAAUUAUAUCAAUGACUCACGUUGUCCUGACCAAAGAUUAUUUAAAGGUUAUAAAUAACCUCACAAUAUUCCUAAAGAUACAAUAUGAUCCUUUAGAAUAGACUACACACCAAUUUCCUUUUCGUUUCAAAUGUUCGAUAACUUUAAAUUCAUAGUUAAAUACUUUGAACAAAGAUGAAACUUUAUUUACCGACCCAUCGCACAGUUGAAAUUUGUAAAGUUCCGCCAUUUACGGGAAAAUAAUCAUUACUUCCGGUUCAUGAAUAUAUUUAAAAUAUAUUAGACUCUAAAUUGACUAGACUUUUUAAGGAAAAGUUACUUUAAAUAAUUUAAUAUAAUUGAAGUUUAUUUAAUAUUUGAUCAUUUCUAAGGAUAUAAAUUAAAUAAUACUGGUUCGAAUAUCAAAAUGAUCAAUUGACAGUAAGAUGGAAGGGAAAUUGAAAGAUGCAAUCUGAAAUAUUGAAAUCAUAAAAAAAUAUUCCAGAUAUUAUAACGUUACCGAAGUAAAUUCAAUACUACUGAAUGAAGUUUGCAUUAUAGUAAUAUUAUGGACGGUUAUCCAGAAAAAUCCUGCAUGCGGAAUGGCGCGAUAUUCAAAACGCGAUAGCGCAGAAGUUGAAGCACUAUAUAACUUUGUUACCUUGAUCUGCUAGUUAUAACUUCCAAGUCGCCAAACCUAACGGCGCUCUCGAUAAGGCUUGGAAACGCAUAAAAGAUUGCCGAGCAUCCGUUUUCGAGUUAUGAAUGUUCAUCGUAGAAGAUAAUAUGCUUGCACGCAGCCGCGUAACAAAAUUAUUAAUAAUAUUAUAAAGUUGAAAAUUUAUAAAAAAUUUAUAUUCAAGGAUGCUUCAAGAACAAUGUAAUUUAAGAACAAUCUGAUUUAUUGGAGUGAAUCAUAUAUGUAUUAGGAACAAAAAAAGUACUUGGCAUAAUAAUAUUUUUAUUGAUCCAAUAAGUUUUAGAUAAUUAGAUUAAUGUUCAAUGUAGGUAAAAGCAUCCAUUAUUCAGUUUAUAUGGUAUAAAAAUCUCAAAGUUGAUCAGAUCUUCAUAUAACACAAAUUAUAUUAAUAGGUACACUGUGACACAGUGAAAAAUAUUACUUAAAAUGUAAAACACUCGUGCAACACGUAUCAACACAAAACAUUUAACAAUUUGUAUAGUCUAAAGCAGGGUUUCCCAAACUAUGUUCCUAAACCUAACCUAAAUAGGUGUUCCGCGACAAUUUGGAAAGUUUUGUAUUUAAAAAUAAUUACUAAAUAAAUAAUAUGUUUUAGUAACAUUUUUUUUAAUUUUUACUAGUAGAAAUUACCCAACCUAAAAAUUAAGCUAAGUGUUCCGUUAAAAUUUCCGGGUUUGCGAAGCGUUCGAUUGCAGAAAAAGUUUGGGAAACUCUGGUCUAAAGAGCCGCUGAAAACAGUGGAUAUCUUAUCGAAAGAUGCAAUCACUGAAAUACGUGAUUCUACGUUUGUUUGAAGGAAUAUAAUAAUGCUUCGUCGGUCUUUGUAAUUGCAAAAUAUUCAGAUACGUGGUUUUACAAAUUCCCUUAUCAAUUUUUUUUUUUUUUAACCACGGAGGGCAACACGGAAACGAAACGCGCGUCACAAUCCACUCAGUUCAGUUUGGAUUACGAAAGGGAUUUCUAUACAGAAUUAUUGUAUGCCAUUCAAUUCUCUGUAACACAGAAUUUCAUCAAACCGAAGCUUGUAUUUCUAUGAACGCGAAAACAUAUAUAUAUGUUUUCGGUAAUAAGAUUACCGCUCCCUUCGUUUCGAACAAAAUGAAAUAGAUGACCUUGGUGGAAGGUCAACCGGCAAGUUUCGAGAUACAGGGAAUUUUUCUUCGUCAAGAAACUCGACUGGAGUGAUUAAUGCGAUUAUGGAAGAAUCUUUAGCGUUAAUUUUAUGGAAAUUCUUAAUGAAAAUCUCAUAAAAAUGUUUAUCUUUUUAAUGGAACUCUUAUCUCAUUUCUUACUAUUUCAGGCUGGUUUAUGGAUGGUAUAUAAAACUGAAAAUGUUAGAGACUCCCUAUAUUUGUAGGAUCAACUUUCUGGAGAACUUUGUUGAAAAAAUUGAGUUAUAGUCAGGGUGGUUCCAGAAACUGUAAUCUAAUAUACACUUUCUUCGAGUUAUUCAAGAGAGAACAGAAAAAUAGCAGAAUUAAAAUUACAUAAUGUCCCUAGAUUGCGCCACCCUAGAAAGACAAAGGGACGCGAAACGUAUCCCACAUUCCCAAAAAAGGGAAAAUUUAGGAUUAGGAUUAAAAUUACAUAUAUUUUUUGUUGAAAAUAUUAAAUACUGAUUUACAAAAUUUACUUAUGUCUUCUCUGAAAAAAUAUUGAAUUCCAAUGAAACGAAAUUUUAUCUUUCGUCUCAAUGAAUCUUUUUGAAAGGUAAUAUAGGAAAUCUGCAUUCAAGGAUUCCUCGAGGCAGGGGAAGGGAUGUAUGCGAAGCCUAACGUGUGCUGUUUACUUUGAAGUACUCGAGCAACUAAUUGCCAUGACAAAGGGAGGGAAAUGAAACCGUGCGUGUCACGCAGAAUCAAAUUGGGAUCGCCUGAUUAUUAGAUCCGGCAACUAUAAUCGUAUCAAAAAACAUACGGAAGAAAAAAUUACAUUAUCUGGAGUUCCAAUUAAAAGGAUAGCAUUGAACACAAAUAUUAUUACAAAACGAUCUGUUCAUUAUUCAGUGAUUAAUCCCUUGCUCUGACGAGUCUCCAAACCAGUUGAUUAAACGUGUCUGAGAAAUGAUAGAGCACCUUACCUGUUGCUGAUACUGCUGAUAAUCAGUGUUCCCUUUGAUCACGGCGGAAACAACGUUCGAG
Osmia bicornis bicornis is the source of this 3167-nucleotide long non-coding RNA. RefSeq lists it as uncharacterized. The record is from RefSeq and is a predicted model, not a curated record. Lineage: Eukaryota; Metazoa; Arthropoda; Insecta; Hymenoptera; Megachilidae. The transcript is spliced from 7 exons.